AUCCAGCUGACGAGUCCCAAAAAGGAUGAAGUGCGCAUUUUGUAU
Molecule: non-coding RNA, 45 nt
Filed under: Schistosoma mattheei
Lineage: Eukaryota; Metazoa; Platyhelminthes; Trematoda; Strigeidida; Schistosomatidae
Source: RNAcentral